CGCAAAAUGUGCACGCGAUUAAGCGAGCGUACAGGGUCCGAAGCGACUGUCCCUACGUGAAAAAAAUGCGUCCCGUCUUGUGCCCAAGGAUGGACUGGCGAGCCGGAGACUCCGAACAUAUUUAGGGCCGUGCCGGCCCGUAGCGUAGUCGACACUGUUGUUCGAGAUCUGCUCAAAGUCUUCGGCCUCUUAGCAGACCGGCGAGAACUCCCGUCAGCAGUAGGCGCACCUGCGUGAUGAAGUGUUUUGUGCCAGGAUGCCCUAAUCGAACAGAAAAUGGCGCGAUGGCCUGUCCUUCCAUAGACGCUUGCAAAGAACGAUGCCACAGCAAUGAGUCAACCUUAAAGUGAAGCAGCUACAUCCACGGGAACAUAACAGCAUCAAGUUGAGCCAGUAAGUUGUCCAAGGCCCUCCAGGACGCUCAAGGGUGAAGCUUCUGCAGCACUGCCUACACACAACCCAGCGACACC
Molecule: long non-coding RNA, 470 nt
Organism: Dermacentor silvarum
Lineage: Eukaryota; Metazoa; Arthropoda; Arachnida; Ixodida; Ixodidae
Exons: 3
Source: RefSeq, a predicted model, not a curated record